This 253-nucleotide ribosomal RNA is filed under the name uncultured bacterium. Its description in RNAcentral is "partial 16S ribosomal RNA". It matches the Rfam family "Bacterial small subunit ribosomal RNA", at positions 524 to 776 of the family's 1533-position model. The record is from RNAcentral.
UACAGAGGGGGCAAGCGUUAUUCGGAAUUAUUGGGCGUAAAGGGCGCGUAGGCGGCUUGGCAAGUGGAAGGUGAAAUCCCUCGGCUUAACCGAGGAACUGCCUUCCAGACUGCUUUGCUUGAGGCCGGGAGAGGCGAGUGGAAUUCCCAGUGUAGCGGUGAAAUGCGUAGAUAUUGGGAAGAACACCAGUGGCGAAGGCGGUUCUCUGGGACGGUACUGACGCUGAGACGCGAAAGCGUGGGGAGCGAACAGG